RNAcentral lists this transfer RNA (73 nucleotides) under Escherichia coli. Its description in RNAcentral is "tRNA-Gly". It matches the Rfam family "tRNA". Rfam says of the family: Transfer RNA (tRNA) molecules are approximately 80 nucleotides in length. Their secondary structure includes four short double-helical elements and three loops (D, anti-codon, and T loops). The record is from RNAcentral. Lineage: Bacteria; Pseudomonadati; Pseudomonadota; Gammaproteobacteria; Enterobacterales; Enterobacteriaceae. RNAcentral also lists the same sequence under 1 other name.
GCGGGAAUAGCUCAGUUGGUAGAGCACGACCUUGCCAAGGUCGGGGUCGCGAGUUCGAGUCUCGUUUCCCGGU